Molecule: ribosomal RNA, 433 nt
Filed under: uncultured bacterium
Lineage: Bacteria
Description: partial 16S ribosomal RNA
Rfam family: Bacterial small subunit ribosomal RNA
Source: RNAcentral
AGCGAACGCUGGCGGCAGGCUUAACACAUGCAAGUCGAGCGGGCACUUCGGUGUCAGCGGCAGACGGGUGAGUAACACGUGGGAACGUACCCUUCGGUUCGGAAUAACGCUGGGAAACUAGCGCUAAUACCGGAUACGCCCUUUUGGGGAAAGGUUUACUGCCGAAGGAUCGGCCCGCGUCUGAUUAGCUAGUUGGUGGGGUAAUGGCCUGCCAAGGCGACGAUCAGUAGCUGGUCUGAGAGGAUGAUCAGCCACACUGGGACUGAGACACGGCCCAGACUCCUACGGGAGGCAGCAGUGGGGAAUAUUGGACAAUGGGCGCAAGCCUGAUCCAGCCAUGCCGCGUGAGUGAUGAAGGCCUUAGGGUUGUAAAGCUCUUUUGUCCGGGACGAUAAUGACGGUACCGGAAGAAUAAGCCCCGGCUAACUUCGUG